This 754-nucleotide ribosomal RNA is filed under the name uncultured archaeon. RNAcentral's name for it is "bacterial SSU rRNA". It matches the Rfam family "Archaeal small subunit ribosomal RNA", at positions 91 to 828 of the family's 1478-position model. The record is from RNAcentral.
CAGUAACACGUGGCUAAUCUGCCCUUGGGACCGGAACACCCCCGGGAAACUGGGGCUAAUUCUCGAUAGGUGAAGAACUCUGGAAUGAGUCUUCGCCAAAAAGACGCUUACGUUAUGCUCGUAGGCGCCGCCCAAGGAUGAGGCCGCGACCGAUCAGGUUGUUGGUGAGGUAAUGGCUCACCAAGCCUUUUACCGGUGCGGGCCGUGAGAGCGGGAGCCCGGAGAUGGGCACUGAGACAAGGGCCCAGGUCCUACGGGGCGCAGCAGUCGCGAAAACUUUGCAAUACACGAAAGUGUGACAGGGCUAUCCCGAGUGCCAUCCGCUGAGGAAGGCUUUUAUCCAGUCUAGAACGCUGGGAGAAUAAGGAGAGGGCAAGUCUGGUGUCAGCCGCCGCGGUAAUACCAGCCCUCCGAGUGGUGUGGAUGUUUAUUGGGCCUAAAGCAUCCGUAGCUGGCUGAGUUAGUCCCUUGUUAAAUCCACCGAAUUAAUCGUUGGAUUGCGGGGGAUACUGCUCGGCUAGGGGACGAGAGAGGCAGACGGUAUUUCCGGGGUAGGGGUGAAAUCCUAUAAUCCCGGGAAGACCACCAGUGGCGAAGGCUGUCUGCUAGAACGCGCCCGACGGUGAGGGAUGAAAGCUGGGGGAGCGAACCGGAUUAGAUACCCGGGUAGUCCCAGCUGUAAACGAUGCAGGCUAGGUGUUUGGACGGCCACGUGCCGUUCUAGUGCCGCAGGGAAGCUUUGUAUCCUCCCGCC